Vicia villosa (hairy vetch) is the source of this 1603-nucleotide long non-coding RNA. RefSeq lists it as uncharacterized. The transcript has 3 exons. The record is from RefSeq and is a predicted model, not a curated record. Lineage: Eukaryota; Viridiplantae; Streptophyta; Magnoliopsida; Fabales; Fabaceae.
AUGUUAAACAAAGAGAAAGAGGGGUUAGGGUUAACUCGUUGUGGCCUUUCAACUUGUUCUCCCUUCUUCUUCUUCACGAUGAAAUGGCGCGGCUGCCAUGUCUCUGAUCGCCUCCGGCCAUCACCAUGAACGUGCUCUCAUCUCCGCCUCAUGCUCUCUCAUCCCGCGUUCUCCCUCAAACUCUCUCUGCUUUCGAUCUCGUUUCACUCUCACUUCUCCGAUCUCAUUUCAAUGAAAGUGCGUUUGCUGUUGUUGAUGAAGUUUGCGUUGAUGCUGAUAUUGAUUAUGCCGUGUAAAUGUGAAUGAAGGUUUGAAGAUUGUUACCGUAAAUCGUGAAUAUAGAGAUCGGCGCGCAGAGCGUUUGUCGAUGAUGGCGGAGAUGAUGCGUAUUGUUGGAGGUUGAUGCGAUUUCUUCAGCGGAGAACGAUUCUUGAGGAUGAAGAAAUUGAUGAAGGAUGCGAAUGCUUCGGUGAACGAUCGAUGAUGAUGCUCUGUGGUGAAGAUUCAAGGUUGUUGAGUGGUGAUCGAUGAUGAUGAAGCUGAAAUUGGGGAAGAAGAUUGAGAGAGGUUCGAUGAUGAUGAUUGGAGAUUCUUGAGUUUUCUGAAGGUGAUUGAAUCAGAGAUAAGAUUGGUGAAGAUUGUUGGAGAAGAAGAUCGAGAGAGAAAGAAAUCUCGGUUGAAGAGUUUGUUACAGCCUCUUGAACCGGUUUCCUUUUCUUCCUUUUAGAUGCCCAUUUUAUGGUUGACACACGGUUCAGUUAUGCAGCAGUUUUGUUAAGUGCUUUGGCCCUAUCGAACCGUUGCGGUUUAGUUUUGAUUUUGGAUGCUGUAAGGCUUGUUUUGUGAAAUGAAGUUGGUCCGCUUUAUGUUAUCAUUGCUGCAAUAUUAACCGGUUUUUAUUGUUUACGUACAAAGCUUGGUAUAAUUUUGUAAUGGAUACUUUGAGUCUGAAUGGUGUAAUGAUAAUUGUAAUAUCUUUGGACUUUGAGAUUUUGUAAUUUGAAUAUGAAUUUUUUGUAAUGAAUUGUAUGGAUUUUUCUUGAAUUUGAAUGAUAAUGACUCUUGCAAGAGAUUUGAAUGAAUUUGAAUCUUGAGUUAAUAAAUGGUAAACAUAAAGAUGUGUGGAUCUUGAAUGAAUGAGUGAUUCAAUAAAUUUGGAUGGAAUUGCAUCAAUACUUGAAUGAAUAUUCGGUGAAUAAAUCUCAAUCCAUUUGCAAAUUUCGAUGGACUCAAUCUUGGUACCUUAAUUCAAACCAAACUUGUACAAUAAACCACCAAGAAAUUGGAAGCAUAAUAGCGUCUUGAACACAAUGCCCUCUUUAAGCCCAUAACCUUGUACCAUGAUUUAUUCCAUUUGCAAUUCACCUCACGAAACCAUUGACUUCACAAUCUCAAAAUAAUAGAAACUCUUUAAUUUUUCUUGAUUUUUGGACGACGAAAUAAACGUCGUUGAUAACUUAUAGCAUUGAGAAGAGGGCAAAUUUUGGGGUGCAACACACAGCAAUCAAGACAGAUUUUCUCUUUGAUCCUCCUUUUCACCAAAAUAGGAGAAGUACCAUCAGGUAAAACAGAAAUAACCUUUUGGCUGCCUGACAAACCUUUC